UGUCUAUCAUUGUUAUAGAGGUAGAAUGUUGUUACAGAGAAGUAAAAUAAAACAUGAAAAAUGGAUUCUGGAGAAAUAAUUUGAUUUUUUAUGAUGUAUAGGGCAUACAUGAAAAGGGUCGUGGACGAGCAUUUCUAUUUUCUCAUGCUAUCAAUGUUGUUGAGGAGCCUCCAUAUUGCAUGCAAAUGAUAAGUGGUCCUCAUGUGGUGUCUGAUAUUUUAUGUGCUGAAUGUGGCAAAAAAUUGGGCUGGAAAUACAAGAAAAGUUUUCGUGAUGUUAACAAGUACAAGGAAGGCAAAAUUGUCAUGGUCAAGUACAACAUCAUCAAGGUUUAGGUUGUUCAUCCUCCUUUCAAUGAUAUGAAUGUAUGUUUAGUUCAUUCAUUAUCAUGUUUAAAGUUUUGAACUUUGACAUUUAUACAUUAUUUACUUAUAUAUGCACUAGAUUUUGGGUCAAUUUGAGAUGCUCCAUAUGGUUUAUUAUAAAGUCUAUGAGGGGUAUGACUGAAAAAAGAGACCCCAAUUAGACUUAGAUAUAGAGAGAUGGAAGUCAUUAACAAUGACCCUUUGUAUGAACAAUUGACAAGGAAAGUUAACUAGUACUAGUAAUUGACAAUUGAACAAAACUUAGACUCCCUCAACUUGGGCUUGAAAAACAUCCUCUUUGCCUUGACUAGUGAAGAAAAAUCCUAUGUACCGACGGUAUUAAUUUUUUAUUUUAUUUUCACACAAUUAGAUAGUUAGACGCGUUUAUUCUGAUAGUAUGCUCGGCCUUCACUAACAUUUUUACUCCCCUUUGAUGGAUCAUAACAUUAUAAAAAAUCAAAUUAUACUGAUUUUGUAUAUUCUUUAAACCGAUGACUUAAAUUCCAUCAAAUAUUAUGGGACCAAAAGGAUUUCAAAAUGAGAAGAUAGCUAGGAAGCUUAAAGGAGGAGGACAAGUAAAAGACAAACUAAGGAAAAAUCCUUGUGACAAGUUUGACAUCACAUUUUAGUUCAACUUUCUAAGUAGCCUGAGUUGGAACUUUCUUAGUUUGACAUCACAUUUUAGUUCAACUUUCUAAGGGCCCGUUUGGCCAUGCGAUAUGGUAUCAUGAUAUUGAAUCAUAAGAUGAAAUUGAAGGUAUGUUUGGACAUGCGAUAUGGAAUUUUUGUGUUGUAUAUUUUCUCAUAAACAUAAAAAUCUCAUAAGUUGUAAAACUAUUAAAAUAACUCCAAUUGUUUAUUCAAUCUUAUCAAAUAAACAAAAAAUUAUAAAAUUGCAUAAUAAAUUAUUACAAAGUUAAAAGUAGAAAAAAAACAUACAUUAGUGAGUAAAUAUUAACUUAGAAGUUAAAUACACUAAGAUAAAAAUUAACAAACAUCACUGACUUCUAACUAUUUACAAGAAAAAUCAAUAGUUAAAUAUUAUUGAAUAACGAAAUUUUAAAAAGUUACCACAAGUUUGAGUCAAAAACACUUCUAAUAAAAUUUAAUCAAAAAAAUUAUAACUAGUCCACUUGACUAAAUAUUAAUAACUAAUUGAUCAAAUUUUCCCAAGUCCUCAAUCAAUUGGACUUGAUAUUCUUCAGUCAUGUGAACGAACAUUUUGCGAAUACUAAGAUUAAGAAAGUGCGGCACCGCCAAUGAAAAUUGUCUUUUAUCAAUAUUAUGCUUAGUCAUAAGAUUAAGACGUUUUUUUUUAUUAUGAAAAAUCAAAAAAGUAUUACUCCCUUCGUUCUCAUUUAUAUUCACCAAAUGAAUUUCUACUUUAUCAUUUAUAUUCACCAAAUUUAAAGUAAUAAUAAAUUUUAUAUUAGUGAGAAUAAUAAAUUUUAAAAAGUAAUGAUGUGAUUAUAAAUUUUAUUUACAUAUGAAACAAAUGGUUAGUAGAUAUAAAUGUGGGGUUGUUUUAACAAAAUAUAAACUCAUGGAUCAAUUAUUGUAUUAAAAUAUCUCAAAUCAUGAUAUGGUGAUUCCAUAUCAUGGUUUUUGGAGAAUAUGGUAUCACCUCUCGUGAUAUGGAAUCAGCGUAAAAUUGCAUGUCCAAACACUAAUUCCAUCUCACGACACCAUAUCGUGAUAUGGUAUCGCAUGGCCAAACGCCUACUAAGUAGCCUGAGUUGGAACUUUCUUUUGUACAGUAGAUAUAUAGCCAAGCACAAAUUAAUUAGAAGAGAAUGGAAAGCGAAGUUGGUAAAUAUCAAGACUUGUUACCGGUGAUGGCGGAUAAGGUGGAGGUGGAUACAUUUGUCAAGGAGCUAUGUGGAGGAUUCCGGCAACUGGCUGACCCACAAUCAAAUUGAUCGCCCCGUCUAGUUUGCAGAAAAACUCUGGAUUUUGGGAAUGAGCAGAGAAGAUGCUGAGGCUAGGGUGAGAGAAGGAGACUUGGAUGAAAAUGAGUUUUGCAUCCUCAUGGUCAGACUUAGCCCAGAGAUUAUGCAAGACGCUGAGUUAUAGUAUCGGUUUUACU
Molecule: long non-coding RNA, 2451 nt
Filed under: Solanum tuberosum (potato)
Lineage: Eukaryota; Viridiplantae; Streptophyta; Magnoliopsida; Solanales; Solanaceae
Description: long non-coding RNA (STUB_LNC002215)
Source: RNAcentral